UCAUUUAAUGAGAAUAAAUAUUACCUCCUUCUGUAAUUUUGGGAAGGCAAAAACCACAAACCACUUUCUAUAGGUAAGUACUGUAUAUUGUGUUAUCGUAUACUAACUAUGAACUAGGACAGCUGUUACGUCAUACAAUUAUAUCCGUCUGUCAUGGCUGAUGUAACUAUAGAUGGGAUAACCAAAGUACCACAGUGUUUCACCGUAAAUUAAGUUUUGGGACGCAGUGUGCCAUU
Non-coding RNA from Cinara cedri, 236 nucleotides. The record is from the annotation of a GenBank genome assembly. NCBI's taxonomy places the organism in Eukaryota, Metazoa, Arthropoda, Insecta, Hemiptera, Aphididae.